This 348-nucleotide ribosomal RNA is filed under the name uncultured bacterium. RNAcentral's name for it is "bacterial SSU rRNA". It matches the Rfam family "Bacterial small subunit ribosomal RNA", at positions 917 to 1271 of the family's 1533-position model. The record is from RNAcentral.
GGACCCGCACAAGUGGUGGAGCAUGUGGUUUAAUUCGAUGCAACGCGAAGAACCUUACCAAGACUUGACAUCUUCUGCAAAGCUAUAGAGAUAUAGUGGAGGUUAUCAGAAUGACAGGUGGUGCAUGGUUGUCGUCAGCUCGUGUCGUGAGAUGUUGGGUUAAGUCCCGCAACGAGCGCAACCCCUGUCCUUAGUUACUAACAUUAAGUUGAGCACUCUAGGGAGACUGCCUACGCAAGUAGGAGGAAGGUGGGGAUGACGUCAAAUCAUCAUGCCCCUUAUGUCUUGGGCUACACACGUGCUACAAUGGGCAUUACAGAGGGAUGCGAAGCUGCGAGGUGGAGCGAA